Papaver somniferum (opium poppy) is the source of this 1813-nucleotide long non-coding RNA. RefSeq lists it as uncharacterized. The transcript is spliced from 3 exons. The record is from RefSeq and is a predicted model, not a curated record. Lineage: Eukaryota; Viridiplantae; Streptophyta; Magnoliopsida; Ranunculales; Papaveraceae.
CUCGAAGAAAAUUGGAGGGAUGGAUGAAAACCCUAGCAAAUCAUACUCUCUAAAGAAAAUCGAUCUCUUUCGUCUCUUCAUUUCACUGCCGCUUCUUUUUCUCUAACUCUCUGCAAAAUGCUGAAGAUGGAGAUUUAGUGUUCGUAUGAAGAUGGAAAUUUAGAGAUGAUGUUGUUAGAACGAGUACUGUUCUUUUAUGUUUUCUGAAAAUCGCACCACAAUAGUUUGUGUUUAAUGAAAUUUAGAGAUGAUGUUUCACUAAGAUCAAAACGUAAAAUUGGAGACGCACUAAUGCCAGGAGACGUAAACAGACUUUGAUGGAGGUGAAGAUGAACCAAGUUGUUAGUUUCUGUUGCUGUUGUUGUAGUGGUUUUGAAGAUGUUGUGGUGGUUUUAGAUGCUGUUGCUGUUGGUUUUGAAGAUGUUGAUAGAGGCGUGUGAAGAUUUUGAUCCAGAACCAGGAUGAGAUGCUCAAGGCUGGCAGGAUCUCUGAACCCUACAAGGAAAUUGGAGAGUGUUUUGGCCGUACAAUCAAGUAGGAAAGGUUCAGACAUUGUGGAGAGGAGACACUGCCAAUGUCGUCCGUUACUUCCCUACUCAGGCCUUGAACUUUGUAUUUAAGGAUUACUUCAAGAGGCUCUUUAGUUUCAAGAAGUACAGAGAUGGCUAAUGGAAAUGGUUUGCUGGUAACUUGGCAUCCGGAGGUGCUGCUGGUGCUUCUUCACUUCUCUUUGUCUACUCUCUUGACUAUGCUAGAACUCGUCUUGCCAAUGACGCCAAGUCUGCAAAGAAGGGAGGAAAGAGAUAAUUCAAUGGAUUGGUUGAUGUCUACAGGAAGACUAUUAAAUAUUUAAAUCUGGUGGAAUUGCUGGGCUUUACUGUGGAUUCAACAUUUCAUGUGAUGGAAUCAUUGUCUACCGUGAAAACAAUGAUUUUCCUUACCUCGGGGUGGGUUGCGUCUUGGCGGGCUGGCAGCUGGUGUAAAAACUUUGCCGCAGCUUUGGAGAUAAGAUCGUUAUGCGGUUUAUCUCUGCUCGACCUGGUACUUGCUACUAGAAAAGAGCUUUGGUUUUGGUUUUGGUUUUGGAAUCAUUAUCUACCGUGGUCUUUACUUCGGAUUGUAAGAUUCUCUAAAGCCAGUUCUUUUGACUGGGGACCUUUCAGUAAGUUUGAAUUCUUGUCUCUUUUUUCUUUCACAUUUAUUUUCAAUGUGCUUUUAUAUACACCAAACAAGUCUGUGUAUAUUGGCUAAAUUAUCUCGAUUGCUUGCUGUAUCUUUGAAGACAUUGUGUCUGCAUACAUGUUCUUUUGUUUAUUGAUUUUCAGGAUAGUUUCAUGGUCAGUUUCGUUGCAAUAGACCAAAUGGUUGUAUUUUGAAGAUGCAGUUGGUUUUGAUGAUGUUGAUGGAGGUGGGAAUGAUGUUGUUGCUAGUAGUAGUGGUUUUGAUGAUGAUUGUUGUUGCUGCUAGUGGUGGUGGUUUUGAUGCUGGAGGUCGACAUGUUGCUGGUGGUGGUUUUGAGAAUUGAUGGAGGUGGAAAUGAGCUAAAUGCUGCUGCUGGAUGUACUGGUUCAUGGCAGUCAGAACAUAACCCGUGGCUGGCUCCUAAAGGUUCACCAUUCCAGAUCUAGGGUCUACUGGUUAACUGUGGUUAAGCUGCUUGAGUUAUAAGACAAGGAUAUUUUGGUGAAAAUUGGAGACCGUUUUUCUGGAAACUGUUAAGUCGGAUGGCUGAUGACCAUUCUGUAAACCAAAUUGUAAAGUAUGAACAUUUUGUAAACCAAUUAGAAAAUGUAUGACCAUUUUGUAAUUGGCA